Molecule: ribosomal RNA, 460 nt
Filed under: uncultured bacterium
Lineage: Bacteria
Description: partial 16S ribosomal RNA
Rfam family: Bacterial small subunit ribosomal RNA
Source: RNAcentral
CCUACGGGUGACAGCAGUGAGGAAUAUUGGUCAAUGGACGCGAGUCUGAACCAGCCAAGUAGCGUGAAGGAUGACUGCCCUAUGGGUUGUAAACUUCUUUUAUAAAGGAAUAAAACGAGGCACGUGUGCCUUUUUGCAUGUACUUUAUGAAUAAGGAUCGGCUAACUCCGUGCCAGCAGCCGCGGUAAUACGGAGGAUCCGAGCGUUAUCCGGAUUGAUUGGGUUUAAGGGGAGCGUAGAUGGGUUGUUAAGUCAGUUGUGAAAGUUUGCGGCUCAACCGUAAAAUUGCAAUUGAUACUGGCAGUCUUGAGUACAGUUGAGGUAGGUGGAAUUCGUGGUGUAGCGGUGAAAUGCUUAGAUAUCACGAAGAACCCCGAUUGCGAAGGCAGCUUACUAAACUGUGACUGACAUUGAUGCUCGAAAGUGUGGGUAUCAAACAGGAUUAGAUACCCUAGUAGUC